Molecule: long non-coding RNA, 301 nt
Organism: Pan paniscus (pygmy chimpanzee)
Lineage: Eukaryota; Metazoa; Chordata; Mammalia; Primates; Hominidae
Source: Ensembl
UAAUUUUAUCACAUAGACACUCCUCCACGUACUUCUAAGGUUUACCAACUUAAAAAUUAAGCCCCUGUGAGCUGUGACUGCAAGUCAGCACCUAAAUUAGAUCAACACUACAACAUCAAAAAGAGAUACACCCAGAAACCCACUGCCUUAAAGGAUGUAACAGUUCAAAACCUACCAGUGUUUCAGCAAAAACUGCAUUUGAAUCUGUGAGUGCCACCUUCUUUUUAAAAAAAAUUUUAUAGGCUUAUUUUCCUCAUGAUAGUUUCAUUGCAUUUGUUGGGUUGUAAACCAUGUAAAGCUC